AUAUUUUAGUAUUUUGAGUGCUGGGGAUGGAACCAGACCUCAUGCAUGCUAAGCAAGCACUCUGCCACUGAGCUACAUUCCCAGCCUUUUUAAAAAACAGUUUUAUUUUGAGACAGGGUCUCACUAGUUGCCCAGGCCGGGCUCAAACUCACGAUCCUCCUGCUCCAGCUUCCUGAGAAGCUAGGAUUACAGAUGUGCGUCACCGUGCCUGACUUAAAACUCUUCUGUGGUUUCCUGGUAACGCCUCACUGUGGCCUGUGCAGUCCCAUGAAAUGGAUCUUCGUCACCUCCCUGUGUUUGCCUUCUCUCAUUGGCUCACCUGUACCAGUGACGUGGCCUCCUGCUGUCCCCAACACAGGAGACCCUGUGGAGUGAUGGCUAGAAAUCUCCAGUCCUUGUCCUAAGCCAGCAGUCAUCUCGGAUUCCAGGAAAAGCAGAGCCUUGCCGACCAGCCAAGAUAAGGUGACCCUCUCCUCAAGCAGGAAUGAUCAUCUCACGGGAACCAGAUUGCCCUCUCCAGCCAGAGGGACUUCUCCAGAGCCACCUCACAAAACCAUCCUGAGAUACCGAUCAACCAGACCCGACUGGACCAGGGUCACAGAAGCUGCCAGCUAUGUGAACCCCAGCCUUUGUCUUUGUUGCCCUUUUGUACACAACCCCAGUGCUCUGUCAGCCCCUCUAAGACAGAUCUUGGGUCUCUGUCUGUGCUUCCCAGAAUGACCCUGCUGAUGAAAGCUCCUUUCCUGGCCUUCAUCACUGCCUGUCGCCUUGAUUACUAUUUUGGUA
Molecule: long non-coding RNA, 786 nt
Filed under: Heterocephalus glaber (naked mole-rat)
Lineage: Eukaryota; Metazoa; Chordata; Mammalia; Rodentia; Bathyergidae
Description: lncRNA (ENSHGLG00000047691.1)
Source: RNAcentral